This 301-nucleotide ribosomal RNA is filed under the name uncultured bacterium. Its description in RNAcentral is "partial 16S ribosomal RNA". It matches the Rfam family "Bacterial small subunit ribosomal RNA", at positions 509 to 807 of the family's 1533-position model. The record is from RNAcentral.
CAGCCGCCGCGGUAAUACGUAGGGUGCGAGCGUUAAUCGGAAUUACUGGGCGUAAAGCGUGCGCAGGCGGUUGUGUAAGACAGGUGUGAAAUCCCCGGGCUUAACCUGGGAACUGCGCUCGUGACUGCACAGCUAGGGUAUGGCAGAGGGGGGUGGAAUUCCACGUGUAGCAGUGAAAUGCGUAGAGAUGUGGAGGAACACCGAUGGCGAAGGCAGCCCCCUGGGCCAAUACUGACGCUCAUGCACGUAAGCGUGGGGAGCAAACAGGAUUAGAUACCCCUGUAGUCCCUGUCUCUUAUAC